GGUUCGGGAAAUUUAAUGGCUUUCGGCACACAACUCGACGGAUACCAGCUUGAUAGCACUCACACGGGCAGCUGAAUGGCGAUGUCUUGAGAUGACACGAAUGAAGCCCGAGUGAAGUCUCUUUAAUGUAGAGAAACAUAACACAAAAGAUGCAUAACUACAACUCUGCCAGACCUACCAGGGCGAUCCGGGCGUCUAGAAGAGCAAACGGGAAGCGGAGAUCUAACAGGCCGUCACGUGUUGUCGGUAAUGGGCACGCUUCCAGCCAGCCUGCCAACACAUCCUAAUGGCAUUGCGAAGGAAAAAGAACCCUAUCUGAGGAACGGGAGAGUGGCGAGAAGUAGAAGAGGAAGAGGGAGGAAAAAAACAAACGCUUCCGCUUCUUCGCCCAAGAUAGCGCUCGUAUUACGUAUCGGUCUGCGGCAGCUGCGUUUUCAGUUAGAUCGUACUGCUGCCAUACUGCCUCGUUUAUCGAGCGUGUUGUCUAUGUGUUUGUGUGUGUGUGUGUUGCGGCAUUGCUUUCACAGGGUUUUACGAGAGCAACUACAAAAAAAAGACACCAUUUCCGUUUGUCCCAAAUUCAAACAGCACCGACAAAUCUUCACAAAUCUUCAGGAACUCCCCAGUAAGUCACACCAGUAAAGAUCGGAAAGCAUGCGGAGUACUAGGAGAUAGGCAAAGGCACUAGAUUGAUGAGGCUUUAUUAACAGAUAUACAGGUAGCUUUUGUUACACUGGAAGGUAAUAAUGAUAAUGAUUAGUCUAAAACCUUUCCCAGCAAGGCCGCUUGGUGCGUCCUGACUUGCACAUGUUAAGCGACUUCCAGCGGUUUAAACAAUGAUUGCUGCAUUAGGAAAAAACUUGCACCUAUAUCUCCCGGGAUCAUAAAUAAAAAAAAAUCAAUUAAACACAGGCUGCGCUCGAAUUAAAUUUGUUUGUGUUGUAUCUCACAACAACAGAGGGAUUACACUUGUAUUUCGGCUUACGAACAUGGACAUGGACAGGCAGGAGUAUUAAACGUUCGACACUAAAUCUCAAAAGCACACAUUAACAUACAGAUACAGUACUCUUUUGUACACCAAUUUCUAUGUUGUUACUUGCUUGCGUUUGUGCUCAUGCUAGAUAACAGGCUAGUAAUAUUCUGCAUUGCUCAAUACUUCCUGUUCACUUUCUCACCACCUUUCAGCGUGCCUUGAGAGGGUCAGAGGACCUACGCUUAAUGGCUAACACAACUCGCGCACACUCCACACUACAGAUCAAUCGCAAAGCAGACGAUAAAGCACACGGGGGG
Molecule: long non-coding RNA, 1290 nt
Organism: Anopheles coluzzii
Lineage: Eukaryota; Metazoa; Arthropoda; Insecta; Diptera; Culicidae
Exons: 2
Source: RefSeq, a predicted model, not a curated record